This 378-nucleotide ribosomal RNA is filed under the name uncultured bacterium. RNAcentral's name for it is "partial 16S ribosomal RNA". It matches the Rfam family "Bacterial small subunit ribosomal RNA", at positions 338 to 733 of the family's 1533-position model. The record is from RNAcentral.
CCUACGGGUGGCAGCAGUGGGGAAUAUUGCACAAUGGGGGAAACCCUGAUGCAGCGACGCCGCGUGAGUGAUGAAGUCUUUCGGUUCGUAAAGCUCUUUCAGUAGGGAAGAAAGUGACGGUUCCUGACUACGAAGCCCUGGCUAACUACGUCCCAGCAGCCGCGGUAAUACGGCGGGGGCAAGCGUUCUCCGGAUUUACGGGGUGUAAAGGGAGCGUAGGCGGCUGCGCAAGUCUGGUGUGAAAGCCCAGGGCUUAACCAGGGAACUGCAUUGGACACUGUGCAGCUGGAGUGCAGGAGAGGUAGGCGGAAUUCCAAGUGUAGCGGUGAAAUGCGUAGAGAUGAGGAGGAAUACCAGUGGCGAAGGCAGCUUACUGGA